UCCCUUCAAUCCCUUAACAAGCGUGCUGAUAUUCUCAGCCAUGAAGUGGAACAAAUCAAAUGUUCAAAUUCAAAUUCUAACCAUCAUGCUAAUCAACAAUACAGAUCAGAGGCAAAUCAAGAGUCUGCUGCCAUCACUGAGGAAGUGAAUCAAGAACAAACAGCUGCUAGAUUUGCCGUGAGUGAAGCUCAGGAGGGGCAAAGAGUUGAAAUUGAAAUUUUUGCUGUCCAUGGUAACUUUUAUGAUGUUGUCCUUGAUAAUUGGACCGAAUCUGAGUUUGAUCACCGCAUAGUAAGUAGUUCACAAGGGCUUGCGUUAGGAGGAGUUUGUCAAGUCAAGCUGAAGAAUGAGGAGGCCUCUCCUUCUGAUGUAUUUUUCAAUAUACCAUCUUCGAAGACUGAAAGUGGAAGGCUCAUUCUGGCAGCAAAAGUUCAUACAAGUGACAAUGGUGGGCUUCGAAUUAAGGAAGCUGUGAUGAUGAAUCCUAUUGUGGUGCAGAUUUACCGAAACAAACUAAAUAUAAGUAGUGACCGUCCGAAGCUAAAAGAUGAUGUACAUCGUUUAAAGGGAAUUUCAGGAAAGGGAUGCCGCGCCAAAUGGCUUAAAGAUAAUCAGAUCAACAUUGUGGAAGAGUUCGUAAAGGAUUUAAAUAAGGAUGAAGAAAAUAUCCGCAAUGAGUGUUUCAAGCUAAAGAAGGAUAAUAAGCUUUGGAAAGAUACAAUUAAACAUGCUAAAGAGUGUGAUCUCGAAGGGAAUUGCAAGCUGAAAUUAUAUAGACCUGAAGAGCAGCAUGUUGUACUCUUCUUUAACUGCGUGCAUGACCUCGAUGCAGUGAAUCGUUUGAAGAAACAAGCAUUUGAUGAGCUGGAUAGCAUUGGCUUUGAUCACGAAAUGAAAAAUAACUAUCCGGUGAUGACGCUCAGUGAUGAUGCUUACAUUCCCUUCACUGACACAGCACAAAAUCCUCCAGAUUUGCAUGUUACAUUUCAAGGUAUUGCAGCAGCUGGGAUUUAUCAUGCACAUGAACUGCCUCAAGCAUUUCCUAACAACAAUAGCGGUUCUGGACAACACUUCUCACAUGGCUAUCAAGGUGCUCUGACUCAGAUGGACCAUGACUACGCCCAAUUUGGCAUUGGUGCUAUGCAGUGCUAUCUUGAACAGGCACCUGAAGGUACUUCUUAUGGAGGCAACAACAUGAUCGAACCAGCAAAUGUACCACAUAAUGUCAUUAAUGACGGCUCUGUGGACAUUUUUGACUGUUAUGCAUACCUCUUUCCGGACAAUGAGAACUAG
Molecule: long non-coding RNA, 1293 nt
Filed under: Oryza sativa Indica Group (long-grained rice)
Lineage: Eukaryota; Viridiplantae; Streptophyta; Magnoliopsida; Poales; Poaceae
Description: lncRNA OsLaMu_11g0022440
Source: RNAcentral